Molecule: ribosomal RNA, 1398 nt
Filed under: uncultured bacterium
Lineage: Bacteria
Description: bacterial SSU rRNA
Rfam family: Bacterial small subunit ribosomal RNA
Source: RNAcentral
AGAGUUUGAUCCUGGCUCAGGAUGAACGCUAGCUACAGGCUUAACACAUGCAAGUCGAGGGGCAGCAUGGUCUUAGCUUGCUAAGACUGAUGGCGACCGGCGCACGGGUGAGUAACACGUAUCCAACCUGCCGUCUACUCUUGGACAGCCUUCUGAAAGGAAGAUUAAUACAAGAUGGCAUCAUGAGUCCGCAUGUUCACAUGAUUAAAGGUAUUCCGGUAGACGAUGGGGAUGCGUUCCAUUAGAUAGUAGGCGGGGUAACGGCCCACCUAGUCUUCGAUGGAUAGGGGUUCUGAGAGGAAGGUCCCCCACAUUGGAACUGAGACACGGUCCAAACUCCUACGGGAGGCAGCAGUGAGGAAUAUUGGUCAAUGGGCGAGAGCCUGAACCAGCCAAGUAGCGUGAAGGAUGACUGCCCUAUGGGUUGUAAACUUCUUUUAUAAAGGAAUAAAGUCGGGUAUGGAUACCCGUUUGCAUGUACUUUAUGAAUAAGGAUCGGCUAACUCCGUGCCAGCAGCCGCGGUAAUACGGAGGAUCCGAGCGUUAUCCGGAUUUAUUGGGUUUAAAGGGAGCGUAGAUGGAUGUUUAAGUCAGUUGUGAAAGUUUGCGGCUCAACCGUAAAAUUGCAGUUGAUACUGGCGACCUUGAGUGCAACAGAGGUAGGCGGAAUUCGUGGUGUAGCGGUGAAAUGCUUAGAUAUCACGAAGAACUCCGAUUGCGAAGGCAGCUCACUAGACUGCAACUGACACUGAUGCUCGAAAGUGUGGGUAUCAAACAGGAUUAGAUACCCUGGUAGUCCACACAGUAAACGAUGAAUACUCGCUGUUUGCGAUAUACAGUAAGCGGCCAAGCGAAAGCAUUAAGUAUUCCACCUGGGGAGUACGCCGGCAACGGUGAAACUCAAAGGAAUUGACGGGGGCCCGCACAAGCGGAGGAACAUGUGGUUUAAUUCGAUGAUACGCGAGGAACCUUACCCGGGCUUAAAUUGCAUUUGAAUAAUCUGGAAACAGGUUAGCCGCAAGGCAAAUGUGAAGGUGCUGCAUGGUUGUCGUCAGCUCGUGCCGUGAGGUGUCGGCUUAAGUGCCAUAACGAGCGCAACCCUUAUCUUUAGUUACUAACAGGUCAUGCUGAGGACUCUAGAGAGACUGCCGUCGUAAGAUGUGAGGAAGGUGGGGAUGACGUCAAAUCAGCACGGCCCUUACGUCCGGGGCUACACACGUGUUACAAUGGGGGGUACAGAAGGCAGCUACCUGGUGACAGGAUGCUAAUCCCAAAAACCUCUCUCAGUUCGGAUCGAAGUCUGCAACCCGACUUCGUGAAGCUGGAUUCGCUAGUAAUCGCGCAUCAGCCAUGGCGCGGUGAAUACGUUCCCGGGCCUUGCACUCACCGCCCGUCAAG